GACGAGGGGUCCAAGCGUUGUUCGGAAUCAUUGGGCGUAAAGCGGGUGUAGGCGGCUUUGUAAGUCAGGAGUGAAAGCCCCAAGCUUAACUUGGGAAGUGCUUUUGAUACUGCAAAGCUUGAAUGUGGGAGAGGAUGGUGGGAUUCCAGGUGUAGUGGUGAAAUACGUAGAUAUCUGGAGGAACUCCGGUGGCGAAGGCGGCCAUCUGGCCCAACAUUGACGCUGAGACCCGAAAGCGUGGGGAUCAAACAGG
Molecule: ribosomal RNA, 253 nt
Filed under: uncultured bacterium
Lineage: Bacteria
Description: partial 16S ribosomal RNA
Rfam family: Bacterial small subunit ribosomal RNA
Source: RNAcentral